CUGGGGUCAGGACAUAGUGCAGGAGCAGGAUCAGGGCUCAGGGUCAAGGCUCAAUGUGCAACUGCAGUCAGGACACAGUGUGGGGUGAAGGUUGGGGCUCAGCUAGCACCAGAGUAGAGGCUGUGUCCAGGUUAAGACUGUAACGCAAGACAGAAAACACACACAGCCAUACGAGGCCACUGUCAGCCGUGCUGGGUAUCUUUAUUUAUUAAGCUUUAUUUUCUGUAGAAGCAAGGUUUUGCUAUGCUGUCCAGGCUGGUCUCGAACUCCUGGCCUCAAGUGAUCUUCCUGCCUCAGCCUCCCAAAGUGCUGUGAUUACAGGCAUGAGCCACUGUGCCCAGGCCAUGGUGGGUAUUUUUAAUGGACAAGAACCCAGAAUGAAGAUCUACAGAGGCUUCCUGGAGGUGGUGGGACUGAGGUCAUCUGGUUUGGCAGGAUGGAAGGCCCGGGCUGGUCCCACCUCCCGCUCCUGCUCGCUCCCGACGGCUGCCUAGGCUGGGGGGCUGCAGACUGUGCCCUGCCGCGCAGGGACUGGAGAUGUGGCAGCCCCGCCAAGGGAUCUCCCAAGAGUCAAAGGAGGUAAUGGAGGAAGAAGGAUCUGAAGACGCAGGGAAGUGCCCAGGCCCCCGCAGGGAGGCUGAAAGCAGCGGUGCCUGCCACGCCCGAGAAGCAGGCUCCAACUCACGUGCUCGUCAGCAGCCGCACUGCUGCCUGCUUUGUCAUUUUAUGCUUAUGUAAAAAAAUACUUUUUGCAAGAAAAAUCUACAGGUACAAAAUGUCAUCCCAGCCCCAUACAGUACCAAGUAAUAUAUAGGCAUAUAUAUAUAUAUAUAUAUAUUUAUGUAUUUAUAACAGAAAAUUGGAUAGAAAUUAUUCCA
RNAcentral lists this long non-coding RNA (878 nucleotides) under Homo sapiens (human). Its description in RNAcentral is "HSALNT0145137". Lineage: Eukaryota; Metazoa; Chordata; Mammalia; Primates; Hominidae. The record is from RNAcentral.